RNAcentral lists this ribosomal RNA (401 nucleotides) under uncultured bacterium. Its description in RNAcentral is "bacterial SSU rRNA". It matches the Rfam family "Bacterial small subunit ribosomal RNA", at positions 28 to 428 of the family's 1533-position model. The record is from RNAcentral.
GACGAACGCUGGCGGCGUGCUUAACACAUGCAAGUCGGACGGUGAUGAGGGGCUUGCCCUUCUGAUCAGUGGCGAACGGGUGAGUAAACACGUGAGUAAACCUGCCCUCCACUCUGGGAUAACGUCGGGAAACCGGUGCUAAUACUGGAUACGACCUACUCGGGCAUCCGAUGUGGGUGGAAAGAUUUAUUGGUGGGGGAUGGACUCGCGGCCUAUCAGCUUGUUGGUGAGGUAAUGGCUUACCAAGGCGACGACGGGUAGCCGGCCUGAGAGGGCGAUCGGCCACACUGGGACUGAGACACGGCCCAGACUCCUACGGGAGGCAGCAGUGGGGAAUAUUGCACAAUGGGCGAAAGCCUGAUGCAGCGACGCCGCGUGAGGGAUGAAGGCCUCGGUUGUAA